Molecule: ribosomal RNA, 391 nt
Filed under: uncultured bacterium
Lineage: Bacteria
Description: bacterial SSU rRNA
Rfam family: Bacterial small subunit ribosomal RNA
Source: RNAcentral
AUUGAACGCUGGCGGCAUGCCUUACACAUGCAAGUCGAACGGCAGCACGGGAGCAAUCCUGGUGGCGAGUGGCGAACGGGUGAGUAAUAUAUCGGAACGUGCCCGGUCGUGGGGAUAACGUAGCGAAAGCUACGCUAAUACCGCAUACGAUCUACGGAUGAAAGCGGGGGAUCGCAAGACCUCGCGCGAUUGGAGCGGCCGAUAUCAGAUUAGGUAGUUGGUGAGGUAAAGGCUCACCAAGCCGACGAUCUGUAGCUGGUCUGAGAGGACGACCAGCCACACUGGGACUGAGACACGGCCCAGACUCCUACGGGAGGCAGCAGUGGGAAUUUUGGACAAUGGGCGCAAGCCUGAUCCAGCAAUGCCGCGUGCAGGAUGAAGGCCUCGGGUU